RNAcentral lists this non-coding RNA (181 nucleotides) under unclassified sequences. RNAcentral describes it as "malK-I RNA". It matches the Rfam family "malK-I RNA". The record is from RNAcentral.
CCAGGUGGGUUCUGCCUACUCCACAUAAUAGGCAGCAUCCGCUAAAUUAAAGGAGGAUAACCCCGUUGGACGCACGGUGCGGCAGUGUGGAGACCUGUCGUAAUGCUGCCGGGAUAUGACCGCUUGGCAGCGAGGGCACAUGCGAAAUGGUAGGUGUGCCUGGCGUCAAAGAAGUAUGGCA